GCUGUUUAAAUUUUUACUUUUUACACUGUAACUUUUCUCACAAAAAUUCUGCAUCUUAGAUACUAGGUAGGGGACCCCAUCAAGCGGCAAGGAGCAGGGAGCUGAAGUCUCACUGGAAGGUGCUGUGGUGAAGCUGGCAGGAGGGAUAGCUGAAGCGAGUCGGUGUUGAGAAACUUGCGGAAGGAGAGCAAUGACCACUUCUGAACAGAAGAGUGGAGUCGAAAAGGUUCCCCAUUGGGCUGCAAUGCUAUCACCAGCACUAAAAUCAAUUCCUCUAUAUGCGGUCUUGGUCCAUCAUUCUCGGUGGGAUACUCCAUCAUCACUUCAGAGUUUGAUAAAUUGUUUGAGUCUUCUGUGAUGAACUACUGCUGAUUUCUCAUAUAUUAAUAUGGAAAACAGAGUAAAUGAUUAAAACAUGCA
Molecule: long non-coding RNA, 420 nt
Organism: Ornithorhynchus anatinus (platypus)
Lineage: Eukaryota; Metazoa; Chordata; Mammalia; Monotremata; Ornithorhynchidae
Exons: 2
Source: RefSeq, a predicted model, not a curated record